Molecule: long non-coding RNA, 677 nt
Organism: Vicia villosa (hairy vetch)
Lineage: Eukaryota; Viridiplantae; Streptophyta; Magnoliopsida; Fabales; Fabaceae
Exons: 5
Source: RefSeq, a predicted model, not a curated record
UCUUCUUCCUCUCCCUCAACCUUCCCCUCUUUGUCUCUUUCUUCUUCUUUCUCUCUCCGAGUCUUCUUUCUCUCUCAGAGCGACAUCUUCUACUUUCUGCUUUCUUCCUCUUCAUUUCCCCUUUUCUUCAUCAUCUUCUUCAUUUCCCAAAACGAAACCGACACGGUUAUCAGAUUUUUUUGGAUUUCUGUUUAAAGAUACUGUUUAGAUAUUGUGGUUAGUGUUUUUGUGGUUUAUAUGAUGAUUUUGUGGUUUAUAUGAUGAUUUUGUGGUUAGGGUUUUUGUGAUUAUGGUUGAUAUCAUGAUUUUAUGGUUAGGGUUUUGAUGCUGCUAUUGGCCAAAUGGAGGUUACCGGCGAUUAGUGUGGUGGUGGUGGUGGAAACGGGUUUCCGCCGAUGAGUGUGAUGGUGGCCGAAAUCAGAAAGAGAUGAAUGGUUGGAGCAGCUGUUGCAGAACAAUCCAUUGUACAUACAGAACUUCAUCCAUUGCUCGCUUGAUGUGGUUGAUGACUGAGAUUGCAGAAAAACAAAACUUCUUAAUAUUCGAGGAUCGUAAGUUUGCCGACAUUGGUAACACCAUGACCAUGCAGUAUGAAAGGUUCUUUAGGUUUGAUCUAUGGAUUUCUAACUUCUUCGUCAACAAUAGCAAAUGAUUUGUGGGUAAAAUAUAAAAGUAUG